RNAcentral lists this ribosomal RNA (227 nucleotides) under uncultured bacterium. RNAcentral describes it as "partial 16S ribosomal RNA". It matches the Rfam family "Bacterial small subunit ribosomal RNA", at positions 15 to 231 of the family's 1533-position model. The record is from RNAcentral.
GAUCCUGGCUCAGGAUGAACGCUAGCUACAGGCUUAACACAUGCAAGUCGAGGGGCAGCAUGGUCUUAGCUUGCUAAGGCUGAUGGCGACCGGCGCACGGGUGAGUAACACGUAUCCAACCUGCCGUCUACUCUUGGCCAGCCUUCUGAAAGGAAGAUUAAUCCAGGAUGGGAUCAUGAGUUCACAUGUCCGCAUGAUUAAAGGUAUUUUCCGGUAGACGAUGGUAG